Molecule: ribosomal RNA, 468 nt
Filed under: uncultured bacterium
Lineage: Bacteria
Description: partial 16S ribosomal RNA
Rfam family: Bacterial small subunit ribosomal RNA
Source: RNAcentral
GACGAACGCUGGCGGCGUGCUUAACACAUGCAAGUCGAACGGCAAGGCCCUGCUUUUGUGGGGUGCUCGAGUGGCGAACGGGUGAGUAACACGUGCGUAACCUGCCCUUGACUUUGGGAUAACUUCAGGAAACUGGGGCUAAUACCGGAUAUGCGCUCCUGCUGCAUGGUGGGGGUUGGAAAGUUUCGGCGGUUGGGGCUGGACUCGCGGCUUAUCAGCUUGUUGGUGGGGUAGCGGCUUACCAAGGCUUUGACGGGUAGCCGGCCUGUGAGGGUGACCAGCCACAUUGGGACUGAGAUACGGCCGAGACUCCUACGGGAGGCAGCAGUGGGGAAUAUUGCACAAUGGGCGGAAGCCUGAUGCAGCAACGCCGCGUGCGGGAUGACGGCCUUCGGGUUGUAAGCCGCUUUGGCCUGUGACGAAGCGUGAGUGACGGUAAUGGGUAAAGAAGCACCGGCUAACUACGUG